CCAAGGAGAAAGGAUCUCUAUCUGAAGAUUGCUCCUCUUAGAGUCCUUCUGUGAGCCCAGGACAUGGCAGAAAGCAGUGUAAUGCUACAGUUCAGCAGUCAGCACAUCAACUCUCUUGGGAGGAAAUCUUUAGAAGCUCAUAGCAUGAAAGACAGCUCCUAAGUUGCAUGAGAGGGAUUUUAUCUGAAAAAUGAUUAGCAGAACAAUCCAACUGCAGUAUGUGAUUAUUGCACAAUCAAUGUAAGUGGGAGUAUCUUUUUAGAAAACGGUUGACUGCCAUAAGAAGAACCCUGAGGAGGUGUGGUAUAUAAGCCUGAGAUGCAGUUAUGAUUGCAAAACCUUAAGAUCUACAAUGUAGCACUGCAUUCUAACAGGGAAGACUGAAACUCCAAGGAUGUUGAUGGCUGCAUGCCAUAGUGUCUCAGGAUUGGUAAAUACUGAUACAGAAGGAAACAACAAGGCAAAUGAGCUAUCAGUGAAGAACAGGAGUUUCUGUGUGGAUGGAUAUUUAACUGGGGACGAAGAAGGUGCCAUUUUACUUGUUUGUGGAUGCUCCAGGAUACACUGAAAAAAACAAGGUGCUCCCUACUUCACCAGAAUUGGUAUCUACAGAAAUUAGGGUGGGCUUUGUCAUGCUGCUCACUGGAGAGGAAAAUACCACCUUUUUUUGUAACUCAUAUGGCUAUAGUCAAAUGAAGAUGCUUCCUGUAUAGUUUUGACAUUUAGCUUUCCUCUUAAAAACAAAUUCAUGAGCAGUGUCGUCUUUGUUUUUGCUUUUUUAGUGGAAUAAAUUUAUCACAGGAUUGGCAGAUAUAAAAAAAAAAACGACUGGUUUCCUCCAUUGCCCACCAUCACAGAAAUUUUAUAGAGUGGAACAAUCUGAAAACUUGUGGUUUUAGAGCUUAUAUUACAUGUACUCAGAUAAGAACAUGCUGUAUGUACCUUUAUAAGUUAGUGGUCACCUGUGAAAAUAAGAGUGUUGUUCUUUCCAUCUUCCUGUUGCUAUCUCUAUCUGUAGAUGUCAAUGAAAAUUUUUGUCAGGGACUAAGAAUAUUUUUGUCAAUCUGCUUGAAAAUCCAGCAAUAUAUAACCCUUGACACAAAGUGUAUUUGAAGUCUUGCUGUGUUUUUAGUCUAUCUGUGAAAAUACUGUUUUACUUUGUGUCCUUAUCAUUGCAUUGUUUUCUUAUAUAUCUUAUACAGUUUAUCACUUCUAAUGUCCCUCAGGAAAAAGUUCCAGUUCAUGCUUUCACCAGUAAAUCUAUCACAUUGAUUUUUAGAUUUGAUGAUAUUCAAAGUAAUCUUAUGUAGGAUAAGUGAAUCUAUUGAAAGGUAUUAGUAAUAAACCUAUUACUGGGAUAGAAUGACAUAAUUUAGGGUCCAUAAUAAUCAGUUAGAACCACUGUGUAUCACCUUUUGUAAAUGUUCACUAAUUUUCAUAAAAUAAAGGUGUUCUUCACUUCUGAAAACAUGAUCAGUCAUUUGAUAUCAUGUAAAUAUUGCCCGUAUAACUUCUGAGGUAAUUGUCAUGCAAUACUGGCUAUCAACCAGCAUCUGAAGUGACAUCAUAAGGGACAAAAUCACCCAAGAGGGAGUGAGUUGGCUUAAUGACAAUAUCAAGCUUGGUCAAAGUGCAGAAUACUCCUGAAGAUCUUACUGUUUGCUUGCCUGCACCAUAUAAACCUUUCAUCCCUGUUUUUGUAAGAAACAGGGAUGAAGGCUGAUAGGUGAGAAAUCCACAAUAACAAUUAAGAGAGGGCAUUUAUUGCUUGCUUACAGCUCUCUCAUUUUGCUUUGGCACUUAUUAAUCUUCACACUUAAAUACAUGUAAUAUAAGUAAUACUGAUGUAGCUACUUCUGUCCACCACAUCAGCAAUUAUUUCAAAGAGAAUUAAGAUGAGGGUCUUUCAUUUCUGAACUGAAGAAGGUAGAAUAUUGAAAAAUUCAGCAAGCAGUAGUAGUUACUAAUCUGGUUGUAUGUUUUUUCCAUUAUUAUGCCAGAUAUGAGGUUACACUUCUUAUUACCUCCUGUUUUUGACUUCUUUAAAGAGGCUGUUUGAAGAUUUACUCAACAAUGAGAAAUUUUUAUUGUUAAGUAACGUGAAAACAAGGCUGGUAUAAGUAUAAAUUGAUGCUGUUAUGUAGAUACCUUUUCCUAAGGAUUUGACACUGCUUUGCUGUGGUUUGUUGUUUUUUGUUUUACCUGGAGAGUAACUUUUCACUUUUUGCUCUUUUAUUUUUACGUGAGGACGUUUGGCCAGCAGAGGGCACUGCGCUAUAACAUAAUCCGUUUCUGUUUCAAAAUCUGAUAUGCUACUUCAACAAACUUUCAUAUAAAAUUAAUUUAAUAGUGUCUGAAUUUCCACAGUGUUAAUCUGGCAAGCAGCCGUGCUAGGAAAAUAUGCUACAGGUACCUGAACAAGAGUUUAAUGAGAAACCUAAUGAACCUCCAAAAACUGAACUUGGUAUUGUGGUUGUACUUUUUUUUUUUUUGGAAAAGAGAUUGUCAGAAAUAAGUUACAAAGGAUGUACGAAGGAUUUGUUUUUUCCAGACAAAAGAAAGAUUCAUAUUUGUGGCUUUUGUUUAUGCAGAAAUGAUUAAUAUGGAUCUCAGUAGCAGGGUAGAGGAUGGAACUCCAAUUCAUCUAUUCAAUGUUUAUUAUUGAAAGGAUCAGAAGAGAAGGGCUGGGUUUGUUGUCUUUGAUAUUGGCAUGUUUUGUCUGUGUGCAUCAGGAUUAAGCUAGUAAAGGGGAGAAUCACUUUAUAAUGGCUUUGUUUGAGCUUCAUGUUGAGGUUUUGAGUUAAAGAUUCAUAUUACAGUGCUCCAUGACAUUUGACAGUGGUGAAAGCUUGAAGGAUGUAACAUUAAGAGCACGCUCUCUGAUGAUGAUAAUGCUGUACAAUCUUUCUUACCAGAUCACUUCACUUCAUGUUCUUAUUGUUACAAAAAAUGAAAUAAAGCAAGACAUUCCUCUCUCUCUCUCUCCCUCUCUAUUUUUCUCCCUGCUAUCUUCCCCAAAAAGUGGAAACACAGAAUUGCAAUCAUCAUCAGAAGUGUGGCUUUGUUCUUUACUGGAAAAAAGUAAGAGAUAAAAGAGCAUAGAAUUUCUCCUGACCUUGGUUUUAUGGCUUUGUAACAGUUUCAACUGUAAUGCUUUUUGUGUUGAGACCAAGUUUUAUGCAUAUGGAGCAUGUGUGUAAUUGUAUUAUAGUAACAAGCACAUGUCUCUUGCAUCCAUUAUGUUCAUUUAUAUAAAGUACAUUGAGGGAAAGGAAAAUCACAAUGACAAGACUUCAAGAUAUCUGCAUCUAAAUUGCAUAAGUGAUUCCUGAUUUGAUCUAAAUCUAUCCACAAGCCAUAUCACUGUAUGUUUUAUAUUGGUAGCAUUCAACAGAAAAAGUGUUUUAGAAACUAUACAUGCCAGUUGUCCUUCCUUUUUACUUCUGCAGUGUCUUUCUUGGACUAUUCCUUUGGCAGAAUGCAAGGCAGCCCUACUAUCACAUCAGAAGCCCAAACCCACUGGUGGGCUUCACAAGCGAUCAGAGGGAAAGAGUGCUGGAGUACUUGAAGGAAUGAAGCCAGCACUUAUUUUAGUAGGAGUUCAGGAUGUGGCUGUGAAGGAGAGGGCUGAAAUAAAACCUAACUGGGGCAGAGGUUAUAUUAUCUUGUUAAUAUCUGGGCAUUAUAUAUCAGAAUACUGCUAUUCUUCUGAGCACUGUGUUGACAGCAAAUCCUUGCAAGUCAGAAUCAUGCCUUCCAGUUGAAAGAAUGACUUUUCAUCUCCUCAGCCUGAUUUCAUAAGAAGUUAUAUUGACUAUAUAAAAUGUUGCAUGACAUUAUCUCUAGGGCAGUAUCAAACAGAGAACGAUACAGAAAUUAGAAGUGAAGGUUAAGGGAGAUCACUGUUGCUAACCGAUACGUUAUGAUGAAUGGAUUAGAGGAAGAAGAGAGACAAGGAAAUAAUACUUUAUUGCAGAUGCAGAGAACAGUUGUAUAAUGAGGGAAUGCUAUCCUUCUGUAUUUCAGAAUUAUUUAAAAUAUUAUGAAAGUAAAAUAAAUAAAAUCACUUUCAAAAUAAAUUAAAACAAUGUAUCAACACUAAAAUAAAAUUACUUAAUUUGACUAUGGAUUUUAAUAGUGCAGUUGGAGACAAAAAAUAAUCAGAUUUUGAUUUAUUUCUUUCUAGAAAACAAGUAGACUAUUCACUUACCCUAAGACAUGUGAAUGAUAAUAUUUUAUGUGUUUUUUAAGCAUCAAUUUGACAUUUACUAAGCAGUGUUGCAGGUUUGUCUUAUUUACUAAUUGUUAUAGAAUCUUACUCUGGCAUUGCUAGUAAAGAACUUUCCUUUUGAAAUAAAAAUUGUUAUUUAAUUCAGAUUAUUUUCAUAUACUGUCUUUUGUACUACAUACAACACAGUACACAACAGAGCAAGAUGGAUGCCUACUUUCAAUGCAUUAAAUUAGAG
Long non-coding RNA from Gallus gallus (chicken), 4466 nucleotides. The record is from Ensembl. NCBI's taxonomy places the organism in Eukaryota, Metazoa, Chordata, Aves, Galliformes, Phasianidae.